GGAAGCUCCACUCCACAGGACAACGUGCUGAGUUUCACGUUAUAACGUGAUACAGAUCUUCCCAUUCUAGAGUCAAGAAAACUGUGAUUCAUACAAUUUAGAUCAAACACACUAGUGGAAACAUCACUAGGAUUAUUUUAUAUUUAAUUUCCAAAGAUGGAUCCUUUCACCUGAGUCUUACACACUGCAGCUUUAAAUGGUCUGUGAGCAACUCUCAUAUCUACUGUAAAGAGAGAGAGGAGGAGCCUGAGAACAGGGAGGUGUCAGACUCCAUUUUCACUGGGAUGAGCAGAAGGAAGAAAAGUGAGCAGUGUUUUUCCUCUCAGGAGGAAGAGGAGGACAGAGCAGAGUCUCCAGGGUUCAGCUGUGUGUCUCUGAAGAGUGACCGGUCCAUGGAACAGCCUCUGUUUUGCAGUAAUGAACCUGGACCCUCACACACAAAGGAGAGGAAGAGGAGUCAUGUUUCUGAGGAGGAGCAGUCGUCCUGCUGUGCUU
Molecule: long non-coding RNA, 495 nt
Organism: Hippoglossus stenolepis (Pacific halibut)
Lineage: Eukaryota; Metazoa; Chordata; Actinopteri; Pleuronectiformes; Pleuronectidae
Exons: 3
Source: RefSeq, a predicted model, not a curated record